CGUGAAGAUUCACCCUUCAGUGAAGGAUACCUUCGAGAAAUCGAAGUUAAUACUAGCAUACGUCCCUACGGGGAGAAAGAUGGCCUCUUUGCUGUCGCUGAUUAGAUGAGCUUACGUACUAUUAGCUAGUUGGUAGGGUAAGGCCUACCAAGGCGAUGAUGGUUAACCGGCCUGAGAGGGUGUACGGUCACACUGGAACUUAGACACGGUCCAGACUCCUACGGGAGGCAGCAGUGAGGAGUCUUGCGCAAUGGGCGAAAGCCUGACGCAGCGACGCCGCGUGGAGGAUGAAGGUCUUCGGAUUUGUAAACUUCUAGUUAAGUGGGAAGAAAGGCGCAGUUUAAUAGAGUUGCGAGAUGACGGUACCAUUAGAGAAAGCACCGGUAACUUCGUGCCAGCAGCCGGGG
This 407-nucleotide ribosomal RNA is filed under the name uncultured bacterium. RNAcentral describes it as "bacterial SSU rRNA". It matches the Rfam family "Bacterial small subunit ribosomal RNA", at positions 116 to 520 of the family's 1533-position model. The record is from RNAcentral.